ACUGCUGAAGGAUGGUCCCGCGUCCCAUUAGCUUGUUGGCGGGGUAAUGGCCCACCAAGGCUCCGAUGGGUAGCCGGCCUGAGAGGGUGUCCGGCCACACUGGGACUGAGAUACGGCCCAGACUCCUACGGGAGGCAGCAGUCGAGAAGCUUCGGCAAUGGGCGAAAGCCUGACCGAGCGACGCCGCGUGAGCGAAGAAGGCCCUAUGGGUUGUAAAGCUCUGUCAGAUUGGGAAGAAAACUUCGCGGUUAAUACCCGCGAAGCUUGACGGUACCGUCAGAGGAAGCACCGGCUAACUCCGUGCCAGCAGCCGCGGUAAUACGGAGGGUGCAAGCGUUGUUCGGAUUCACUGGGUAUAAAGGGUGUGCAGGCGGCCCGAUAAGUCAGGGGUGAAAUAUGACGGCUCAACCGUCAAACUGCCCCUGAAACUGUCAGGCUUGAGUCCGGGAGGGGAAGGUGGAAUUCCUGGUGUAGCGGUGAAAUGCGUAAAUAUCAGGAGGAACACCAGUGGCGAAGGCGGCCUUCUGGCCCGGAACUGACGCUCAGACACGAAAGCUAGGGGAGCGAACAGGAUUAGAUACCCUGGUAGUCCUAGCCGUAAACGAUGGGCACUAGGUGUUGGGGGAGUCUACCCCCUCAGUGCCGCAGCUAAUGCAUUAAGUGCCCCACCUGGGGAGUACGAUCGCAAGGUUGAAACUCAAAGGAAUUGACGGGGGCCCCCACAAGCGGUGGAGCAUGUGGUUUAAUUCGAUGCAACGCGAAGAACCCUUACCUGGGCUUGACAUGCAGGGGACAGGGUG
RNAcentral lists this ribosomal RNA (800 nucleotides) under uncultured bacterium. RNAcentral describes it as "bacterial SSU rRNA". It matches the Rfam family "Bacterial small subunit ribosomal RNA", at positions 214 to 1002 of the family's 1533-position model. The record is from RNAcentral.